RNAcentral lists this long non-coding RNA (17692 nucleotides) under Musa acuminata (dwarf banana). RNAcentral describes it as "long non-coding RNA (MACU_LNC003160)". Lineage: Eukaryota; Viridiplantae; Streptophyta; Magnoliopsida; Zingiberales; Musaceae. The record is from RNAcentral.
UUUUCCAUGUUUAAAGUCCAACUAAGUCUAUAAGAGCAGCUGUCAUCAAUUUCAAAGUUAGUGAAGUUAACUAGAUUUUUGGAAUGGAGAAGAAACUGAGGAACUCUACAUUAGUAAAAAAGAUGAUUGAUUUGGGCCUCGUCAAAGCUUCAUUGUCUUAGGCAAAUCAUGUCACUUGUAUAAUUGCUUAGAUGGAAAAAUGUUGCCCGACUGAAAGGUCAAGUGAAACAAUCAAUAGUUGAGGAGUUCAUAGGAAAAACUAUAGGUCAUGUAACUAAAAUCAAGUAUCUUUGAUAGACAUUUUCAUAUGUGACAUUGAACUUUGUUUUUUAUAUUUCUAAUUCUGUAGCUGGUACAUCCCAAGUUAUGAGCCAGAUUGUUAACCCUAUUGAAAUUUUUUUCUCAGAUUGUAACAUUUAUUCUCUAGGAUUGAUGAUGCACUGUUUGUCUCCUAGAGAAAAGAGAAGAGAGCUAAUGUGUUGAUAAGGUGAACCACCUCAGACCCAUGGUGUCCACAGAACAAUGACAAAGAAGUCGAAAUGUGUUAGGAAUCUAAAAAGACAACCCUAAUGUAUUAUUCCAGAGUUGGUCUUCACUUGAAAAUAUAGUUGGAAAAGAACCACAAUUUCCUCUCAAAUCCUUUGCCAAGAGACCUUAAGUGCUCUGCCACAUCCACACAAAUUCCAUCUCAAAUAACCUAUCAAAGUCAUGGCACGUCUCUAAAACCCACAGGUUGUGGUGUCUGGAUGUACCUUGUGUCUUAGUUUGCCACCUAAAAGAACUGAUGGACACCAUGUUGAGAUUAAUGAGGAUCACUCAUGCUCCAGAUAUUUGGAUUGCUUCUCUGACCUCCAGUUCUAGUUAGCAAGAUAUAAAUUUCUCAUGAUUGUUAUUGGUGAAACAAAUGGCUUUAGUUUAAGAUGUUUUAGAUCUGAUAGCAGUACAUUCGAAGUAAUCUGUUAAUGAGUUUUUAACUUAUGUCCUUAACAUGUGAUAUUUGAGCCUAGCAUGCAUAGGUAGCUCUUUGGAACUACUAGUUUAUUAUUGGCACAUGUAGCACCUUCAAUUUUUCCAAAGUGUUGCUUUAUGUGAAAGAAAUGUGAACAGCCUAUGGAUAAUUUUUGUGCCUGAUUGGUUUGUUUGCACUUCAACUUCCUUCUUUGUGAACAACCACAAAGAUUGUAUAUUUUGAGCAUCUUCUUGAGGAUGUUAUAAACUAAUGGGAUGAGACAAUUGCCUCUCAUAAUUGUGCUAGGACAUGACCCAGGAUCAACUUCUGUAUUGAAUCAUCAUCAUGUGUGUAUAUAUAUAUAUAUAUAUAUAUAUAUAUAUAUAUAUAUAUAUAUAUAUAUAUAUAUAUAUAAUUAUACACACACACACCUCAUGGGAAUGUUCUAUGGCUUCUGGCCUUUUCUUAUAUCCUUGUUGAGAUACUAUCUCAGAUAUUGUGUGGAUGCAUUGUACCAGUUGAUGUCAGACUUUAUUUGACACCAAUAGUUCUUCUAGAAGCAAACUUGGUUUCAUUCUCACCCAUUGUUGAGGGCAUCAGGGACAGCUGUUGGCCAUGUCACAAUUAUUGGGCAGGCAUUUUAAUAGGCUGGACCCACUUCCAAUGCUUAUCUUUCAAGAAGAUAAAUCUGCUUUCUGUGAUGUUGUUUGUUCUUAGUGACUUACUACCCUUAAGAUGAAAGAAAAAGAAAAUAAUAGGACUUUGCUUUCUGUGGCUUUGAUUCCAGGAUUUUUGUCUUGUACUCCUAAUGUCAAUAGUAUGGUCCCAAAUCUGACAUCAUAGCUUUUUGUGACUGAAUUUUUUAUUUAAUUAUUAUGUAACAUUUUGUAUUAGAUGCUUGCAGGACUCAAACUUUUUACCUAUUCAUUACAUGCAUCAAACAUCUCUCUUUAUAGGCUGUAUAGGUUGUUUUUCUUUUUUCUCAGUUUUUUUUUUAAUUUUGAAUUCUUAGCUUAUUUAGUUCCAGAUCUCUAGAAGAAUCAAAAAAUGAGUUUCUCAUAUAUAUAUAUAUAUAUAUAUAUAUAUAUAUAUAUAUAUAUAUAUCUAUAUACUACUACUAAUAAUNNNNNNNNNNNNNNNNNNNNUAUUGAUAUAAUAUUUUUUAUUUUUUAAAAAUAUAGAAUGAAUAAUUCCUGUGAACGAUAAAGGCUGGUAAAUGCAUUGCAUGAAUAGAUAGAUGUGGAAAGCAGAUUUUUUUGGUCUGAGCUCAGGGCUUUGCUUUGGACCCAAGUAACGUGCCGUGCAAACCGGGGUGGGGUCCAAUCUGCGGUGCUGUAUACUUCAACAUGUGUUUGACCAAAACUACCCUUGUCAUCGUCACGAUUUACGUCUUUUGUGGGGAGUGAGAAAAGAUGUCCGGAUGCUUUUUCUUGAGUACCAAACAAUCUUUCCUCCUCCCUCAUAACUCUGAGAUUAGGAAGUCAUUCAAUGCUGAUUUGAUCACCGUGUCUUCCAAGUCAGGGCCGGGAAGCCUAAUAGGACCACGGCAUCCUUUUGCUGACGUCAUUUGGAAUUAGAAAAUAUACAAAUAAGAUUGAGAUGGUAAUUUCGAAAUAAAAAUUAAGAGAAGCCAAUUAUUCACCAUAAGAAAGACUCGCCUUCCAUCAAAUGGGGGAGAUUUAGGUGGCCAUCCCCUCAUGACAUUUCACCAUCAAUACCACAUGUGCAUGGCAAAGAAAACAAGUGUUCUAGAUGAAGGUAGAAGGCUCUUAGUCGGUCUCCCUUGCAAUAGGACAAGCGCAUCAAUAGCACAUCUAGAAGCCCAUGACUUUGCAUCCACCUCUCCCACCACACACACACACACAAAAAGCUUAGAAAGGAAAGGUGACGGGAAAAGGACCCCAAAUGACUCCUGCAUUAAAACCUGACCUUGUCUUGCUCAAGACACAAGCACAUGCCCUCCCUCCCUCCUCACCAUUUACACCAUCCUCAUCCUCAUCUCUCUCUCUCUCUCCGCGUCUCUUGCCAUGAUAGCUCACCGACAACGACGAGAGUUCUCCACCGGAGACCAGUUCAGUUUUGCGAAUCCAACCCACGGCGCAAGCGACGGACAGACGAUGGAGCGUGCCACGGUUGCAGCAGGAACCAAAGCCGAGCUCGGCCCAUGGACUCGGAGAGCUUCCUUGAACCUCUCCGGUUACAGCCAGCGCGACGGCGACGAAGAUUUCCGAUGGCUGCCCAAGGAGGAUGGCGAUGACUCCGGCACUCCCUCGCCGCCGUUGUGGAAGAACGUGGGCCUCCCGGCGACUCGGUCUGCCGACAAUUCCCCGGCGCACAAGCACCACCACGGUAUGCAGGCGUUUCCGACGUCACGAGCUGAGGAGAUCGCCAGGUACCGGCAGGAGAUGUUGGACUUGGUGAGGGACAUGCCGGAGCCCGCGUACGAGCUCUCGCUAAGGGACAUGGUGGAGGCGCCGAGGGUGGCGAAGACGGUGCAGGAGAUGAUAGAGAAGAGGAGGACAGAAUCGAAGGAUCGAAGUAAAGAGAAGAGAAGGCUGUUGAGGAAGGAGAGCAUCGAGACCGGGGUGUUCCUUAAGAUGUUCGUGCCGAUUUCCAUAAGAGGAGGGAGAAGGAAGAGCUUUGGGGGUUCUAAUACUUGCUCAAAGGUUUCACCGAGGCCCGUCUUGGCGGAAGCAGAGAAGGGUGGGCUUGAGGUCACGGAGGGAGAGUGGUGGGAGAAGGAGUUGGGUGGCAGAGGAAGCAGCAGCAGCAGCAGUAGCAGCUCCAAAAGCAGCAGCAGUAGCUGCUCCAAAAGUAGCAGCGGAAGCAGCACAAGUAGAAGCGGUAGCAGGUGAAACUUCUUCUUUCUCAUCUGCAACUACAUAAUGAAGAAGAUUCCAUGAUUGUAACAUAAUGGUUUGAUGUUGCAGGAAGAUGAACGGCUGCUACGCUUUCUUCCUCACAAAUAAAAGCAGCUCCAAGGAAAUUUAGGGAUGCCAAGUAUUUUGUUUUGCUGAUCACUGGAAGAAGAGAAUGCAGCAUGGCAUGUACAGUGGUUUCGACUUGUGCUUUGAUCUCAUAUGUUUUUAAAUCUAGUUUAUGAGAGGCUGAAAAUUAUGGUUUUAAUUGUGGGGUAGAUUUCCAUCCAUGACAAGAAUUUUGAAGUUGAUUGGUAAGAGAAACAAGAUCGAAACUUGUGUUGUUUGUGGAAGACGAAGAACAGGACAUACGGUCGACCUCUCUGUUCUCCCUUCACUUUAUUUGUUGUGUAGUAAUGUACAAAUCAAAUCAGUCUCCAUAUAUAUAUAUAUAUAUAUAUAUAUAUAUAUCGGUGUAAUAAAAAUAGUAAUAUAUAUUUUAAUAUUAAAAUAUCAAAUAAGGAGAAGAGAAUUAAUUGGUAAGGAAUCACAUAAUCCACGUGGCAAUCGCAGACCUCCCAUGCACGUACGCGAGUGUCGUCACCCCCUCUUCCAAAUGAACCCUAUUCGGAAUUCCUUCACAUAUUGGCUUAAUUUUGAGUUGAGUUGAAACCAAAAAAGAUGUUUACAAAAUUAAAUCAAGGUUGAAAUGAAAAAUUAUUUUAUUUUUAUUCAAAAAUAUUUAGAAAUUAAACAUCAUGUAAAUACAAUCCAUGAGUAAUGGAAUUUUUCUUGUGUAAAAAAAAUCAGAAAAUAAAAAGGAAAAAUAUUCACUCAUUUCAUAUUUAAAUAUAAAACAAAAGAAAUGUUUACGUUAUGCUUUGAGAUUCGCGCAGAUAGCCAGGGAGGAAGGGGAAGGGGACGGGGGAAGUGAGGUGACGGCACCGGGGAGUAACGGUAUCUGUCUGUGGCUGUUGAGAUUUCAUCGCGCGUUCCUAACGAUAACGACGACGACGACGACGCGCUUCCUCCUCCUCGAAACCCCACCAUCCAAAACCUACGACUCCAUCUUCUCCCGUCGAUCGCUCUUCGGAUUCGCCGUUUGAUCGACGCAGAAUCCGUCACCUUCCAUCGAUCUCGCGCGCUUCGCUGCCGCCGAGCGCUGGGAACCGCCGGGUCGCGAGGUUUUAGGGUUGGAUACGAGAGGAGCGGCGGCGGAUGAGCGGUUGCCGCGGCGGCGAGAGGGGCGGAGGAGAGCCGGAAGGAUGGCACAGCCAGAAUUGGCUCCCCGAGGGAGCUGGGUGGCGUCGGCUUACAGGGGCAUGUCCGCCGACAAUAUCAAGGGCCUGGUGCUUGCCCUCUCCUCGAGCGCCUUCAUCGGCGCCAGCUUCAUCAUCAAGAAGAAGGGCCUAAAGAAGGCUGCGGCCUCCGGGAUUAGGGCUGGUGAGGAGAACUUCGCUUCUUGAUUAGGUUUCUGUCCCUUUCUCUGUGUUGGCAUCACUUUCUUGAUACUCUUGCUGAUCUGCUGAUGAGACCCUCUUUUUGUACUUCUUUUGGUAAAUUUUUUGUCACCAUUGACGAAAAAAUUCCUCCUUUAUCGAAGUUGGAUGGAAAAAACAGAAAACCCGACCAAAUCAUCCCGAUCGAUGAAACAACAUCACCCGCAAUAGUUUACUAGUAGAAUAAUGCUAGUCACCAAUGCAGCUUGAUGUCUAAAUACCGUACAUUAUGUGGGUACUUGAUUUCAUCCGAGAUCUUAAUUGGUUUCAUCUGAUUACAGGGGUCGGAGGUUAUUCUUACUUAUACGAGCCACUUUGGUGGAUUGGCAUGAUCACAAGUAAGAUUGCUUUUUCAUUCCAUUAGCAUGGUAUCUACUAUCUUUAUUAGUCCACGAGCUAUUUGUGUCGUUGUCAUCAAGAGAUCUUGUGCUGUGCAUUAUUGAUUACCGCCUAGCUGCUUUGUGCUGGACCUGAGCCCAAGCAUGUACCAAGGGUUGGUAAAUGGUCUCACACUAAGCUUGCUGAAAUGGACCAUGCAGACCUUCGUGGCCAUCAUCGUUUAACAUUUCAUUGACCCUAAGAGCAGCUUGCUUUUGGUCAUAUACUAACAUUCAAUCAUUUGUAUCCUGAUGCACUUCAAUUUAUUGCUUGAGAUUUUAAUUAAUGUUUGAACUCUGUUAACUAUCUUAUUAAGAUGGCAAAGGUUCAAAAGAAAUGCUUUUGGUGGUAUACAUUCUUUCUCCAGAUGUGCUCAUUUACAACAAAUGGAAUACUGCUUGUACUAGACAAACCUUAGGUAGCAUCACUAAGAUGCAAUUGCGAAUGAAAUAUCUCCUUGUGGAUCAUGUGGAAAGAGUAUGGGAAGUCAACGGCGUUUUUGACAAGUGUUUUGCAACGUUUGUUCGAUGAUUUGACAACUCGUAUUUCUUAGCCAUUAGUUGAUCAUAUCCUAGUAUGUUGCGCAGACAUAUUUAUUGCUGCAUGAAUUACUUGUCUACUUAUUGCAUUGGUAUCCAACCACCAGUGAAUUCUAACAUAUUUUGAGCUGAUGAUUAGUGAUUGUCGGUGAAGCUGCCAAUUUUGCUGCUUACGCAUUUGCUCCGGCCAUUCUUGUGACUCCUCUUGGUGCACUUAGCAUAAUAAUCAGGUGUUACUGUGAGUUCCAUGUCAUUUAUUUAUGAAAAAUAUUCACAUUUUAUUGCAAUGACCAUUUUUAUUUUUCAGUGCGGCAUUAGCACAUAUUAUACUACGGGAAAGGCUGAAUAUUUUGGGUAUUGUUGGCUGUGUUCUUUGUGUUGUGGGAUCAACGACAAUUGUUCUCCAUGCUCCACAGGAGAGGGAAAUCGAAUCCGUGAAGGAAGUGUGGAAUCUUGCUACCGAACCAGGUCUUUGUAUAUUAUUGUGAGGGAUAGCUAUCUGCCUUGAGUUGCUUUUGCUUUUACCUGGCAGUUCUUUAUGAUACUCGUCACUUUGGUUUCAAUUUGAAGUCUAAUAAAUGUUUGAAGUAUUACUGAGGCUCAUUUGCAUGUUCUUUGCAGCCUUCCUCUGCUAUGCGACUAUCGUGGGUGCAGUUAUUUUGGUGCUCAUUUUUUGUUAUAUCCCUCGGUAUGGGCAGACAAAUAUAAUGUUUUAUGUUGGUGUCUGUUCCCUAGUUGGUUCUUUAUCGGUAAUGACUUGUCCCUACAUAAUUAGUUUCAUGUUUUUCUUGAGCUUUUAUGAUGUUCACUUUUAUUAAAUCUCCAAUUGGACAGGUCAUGAGUGUCAAAGCUCUUGGGAUUGCUCUAAAAUUAACAUUUUCAGGAAUGAAUCAAUUGGUAUACCCACAAACUUGGGCUUUCACCAUUGUGGUACUUAUUUGUGUGGUUACACAAAUGAACUAUCUAAAUAAGGUACCAAGAUUUGAUGAGUUUCAUUAUGAAUUUCCCCUUUUAUCAAUAUCUUAAAUAUAAUGUGUUAUAUAUGUCUAUGUAGUCCAUUUUCUGCAUGAUUCCAACAUUUUGGACACACUAACAAGUACUUGAUGUAUCAAUUUCAUACUUCUGCCAAAGAAAGCCCAUGCUGUGGAAAAGUAGACAGAAGUUUGGAAAGAAAUAAACAUUGAAAAGAUGACUGGGAUGUUCCAGAUAUUCUGAUUAAAUGGUCUAGUGACGGUUGGUUCAUGAACUUAAUUUUAGCUGGGGGACUACUGUUAAUUUUGACCAAGUUCUUGAGGUUCUUAGUUCAAAUUGUAAAGGCACACAAGUUGCCAACAACUGUCAGUCUUCUAUUCUUUUGUUGGCUUGAAGGUAACAUCUAGCGAUAGUUAGAGAAAAUGAUGUAGUGCUUGAAGUCUCCGCUUGUGCAAGUGUCCUCAUUGUGCACUAUUUUGCAUCCUUCUCUUCUCUUUCCUAUUUAUAUUUUAUAUUUUUCUUUCUUUAUUUGGUCCUAUUGCUUCACCUAUCAAUGGCCUACAGCUACAGCUGAUAAGGAGUCCUGUCAUAUUCAUUACUAAAUAUGUCAAAGCAUUUAUUGCUAUAGUGUUUCUCUAUAAAACAGACGGUUCUUUUAAAGAUAACUUUUGUUCUUUUACUUUGUCUAACAAUAGCUUGGAUCAUGUUUCUUAUGAUUUAGAUUAUUUUUAGGCUUUAUGUUCUUUAUAUUGUAUGCUUUUUGAAACAAAAUGAUCUGAUAUCCAUUGUCUGCAAUCUAUCUCACAAUAAUGUCUUUGGCAACUGUAUUUGUUUUUAUAUUAGCUUAGUUUUAUAAAAAAAAAAGGAAAGAUGGUCAAUUUCUUGAUAAUGCCUAUUAAUUUGUUAUAACUAUGGUUGGACUAUAAUCACAUUAACAUAUUCAUAAUGUAUGCUUUUUGAAACAAAGUGAUCUGAUAUCCAUUGUCUGCAAUCUGUCUCACAAUAAUGUCUUUGGCAACUGUUUUUUUUUUUNNNNNNNNNNNNNNNNNNNNNNNNNNNNNNNNNNNNNNNNNNNNNNNNNNNNNNNNNNNNNNNNNNNNNNNNNNNNNNNNNNNNNNNNNNNNNNNNNNNNNNNNNNNNNNNNNNNNNNNNNNNNNNNNNNNNNNNNNNNNNNNNNNNNNNNNNNNNNNNNNNNNNNNNNNNNNNNNNNNNNNNNNNNNNNNNNNNNNNNNNNNNNNNNNNNNNNNNNNNNNNNNNNNNNNNNNNNNNNNNNNNNNNNNNNNNNNNNNNNNNNNNNNNNNNNNNNNNNNNNNNNNNNNNNNNNNNNNNNNNNNNNNNNNNNNNNNNNNNNNNNNNNNNNNNNNNNNNNNNNNNNNNNNNNNNNNNNNNNNNNNNNNNNNNNNNNNNNNNNNNNNNNNNNNNNNNNNNNNNNNNNNNNNNNNNNNNNNNNNNNNNNNNNNNNNNNNNNNNNNNNNNNNNNNNNNNNNNNNNNNNNNNNNNNNNNNNNNNNNNNNNNNNNNNNNNNNNNNNNNNNNNNNNNNNNNNNNNNNNNNNNNNNNNNNNNNNNNNNNNNNNNNNNNNNNNNNNNNNNNNNAAUGUUUGUAAAUCAAUUACUUAUUUACACCUUUUUAAACUUGUUUGGAAAUUGCAAUUGAAUAUAAACGUAGUGAAGUACAGCAUAUUCAUAAUGUAUGCUUUUUGAAACAAAGUGAUCUGAUAUCCAUUGUCUGCAAUCUGUCUCACAAUAAUGUCUUUGGCAACUGUUUUUUUUUUUUAUAUCAGCUUAGUUUUAUAAAAAAAGAGAGGGAAAGAUGGUCAAUUUCUUGAUAAUGGCUAUUAAUUUGUUAUAACUAUGGUUGGACUAUGAUCACAUUAGCAUAUUCAUAAUGGAUGGUUUUGAAACAAAGUGAUCUGAUAUCCAUUGUCUGCAAUCUGUCUCACAAUAAUGUCUUUGGCAACUGUAUUUUUUUUUUUAUAUCAGCUUAGUUUUAUAAAAAAAAAAAGAAGGGAAAGAUGGUCAAUUUCUUGAUAAUGCCUAUUAAUUUGUUAUAACUAUGGUUGGACAAUGAUCACAUUAGCAUAUUCAUAAUGUAUGCUUUUGAAACAAAGUGAUCUGAUAUCCAUUGUCUGCAAUCUGUCUCACAAUAAUGUCUUUGGCAACUGUAUUUUUUUUUUUAUAUUAGCUUACUUUUAUAUAAAAAAGGGGAAAGAUGGUCAAUUUCUUGAUAAUGCCUAUUAAGAAUUUGUUAUAACUAUGGUUGGACAAUGAUCACAUUAGCAUAUUCAUAAUGUAUGCUUUUUGAAACAAAGUGAUCUGAUAUCCAUUGUCUGCAAUCUGUCUCACAAUAAUGUCUUUGGCAACUGUAUUUGUUUUUAUAUCAGCUUAGUUUUAUUUAAAAAAAAAAGGGAAAAGAUGGCCAAUUUAUUGAUAAUGCCUAUUAAUUUGUUAUAACUAUGGUUGGACUAUGAUCACAUUAGCAUAUAUGCCUUGGAAACAACUAUACUGAUGCUUAAGAUUUUAUUACCCCUCCAAACUGCUGCAUAUCUAAAUCAGACAUGUACGGAAUUAAUCUAAGUUCGAGUAAGUCACCAACUUGGUAAGCUGGGUUUCGAAAUAAAUUGGAUUUGUGGGUGCCAUACGCGCGGGCCAAUAACCCUUUUUAACUGUCUGUCUUUUAACUGUAGGCACUGGAUACGUUUAAGACGGCAGUUGUAUCACCAAUUUACUAUGUGAUGUUUACAUCGUUGACCAUUUUGGCUAGCACGAUCAUGUUCAAGGUAAUGCUUGCACUUGUUCUGUUAACUUCAUUUAUUUUCAUUAGAAGAAUGAUAAUAUUGGACGUCAUAAUGCAAAAUAGUAUGCUACACAGCUUUAGUUUUCCUUCAUUUGUUCCUCCCAUUGGCUUAUUUUACCAUGCUUUAGAUUUUUCAUUAUCGUAUCAAAACAACUUACAAGUAUAUCUGAAUGGUUAUCCUUUGUUUCUUGUUGUUGAUUUAUUUGAGAUGCUCUUCUUUUGCCUUUGGAUCUUCAUAUCAUUUCUUCUUAAGUACGCACUAGCAGAUGGAAUAACCCAUAAGCAUAGAAUUUGAGUCUAAUUAUGAUAACUAAAUGAUGUUUUCUAGAUUUGAAUACUGCUACUAAGCUUCCGGAGGUAGUGAAUGUUGUACGUCUGUCUCUAUUUCCUCCUCGAGGAAGAGACACUGCUGGGAUGUUGGUUUUCUUGGUUCUCUCAGGACAACUUAGGAGAUUCGUAUGUGCACCACAUUGUCACCAACAGUUACAGAUUUCUUUCUUGAGAUGCCUUGGCUACUUUUUUUCUUUUCUUUUCUUUCAACUUAAUGAAUUGCCAGCAUUCUUUGUAUAGUUCUGCAUGGAUUCUGGUCAUAGAUGAUGAAUCGGUGUUCUUGUAAUUGUACUAGCAGGAAUGGGAUGGGCAGAACCCGACGCAGAUCGUCACGGAGAUGUGCGGUUUCGUGACGAUUCUUUCAGGGACAUUCCUGCUUCACAAGACGAAGGACAUGGCCGACGGUGGUACGUUAUGCUUCUCCGUCGAGGGUGUUGGUGUUGCAGUGCACACCAUACUUGAUCGAAGAGCUGAAAGCUUGUUUUUUUGUUGAUAGGUCUUGCGACAUCGCCGUCGCGAUUCCACAAGCAUGCCGAUGAGAACGGUUACACCUACGAAGGAAUUCCUCUCAAGUGUCAUGAGCCUUCGAGGGCGCCGUGAGGUGAGCCAACCAAGUACGCUCUCAGUCUAGCUUUUAACUACCAGAGAAUACAGCUGCCUGCAAUCAUUGGCUUAAAUGGCAUCAAACUGGCUCUUUGGAUGAUACCGAGGAAUCAGUGAACGCCAUGUCAAGAUAGAUUCCAAGCUUACUCUAAUUCUAGGCAUCUGAGUAGGUAUUUAUUUUUCGUUGAAGGACUGACUGGUAGUAGAUAGAUAAUCCAUGUUCUUUUGAGCUACUAUACCAGAAUUUCUUGGUGGGGGCAAUCUCCACCGUGACCUUCCCAAUGAAUUCUUGGCCUCUGCCACAGAAAGCAGAGAUAUCCCCACGAUUCCUGAUGCAUGCGAGCGGCUACGCCAUUCGUACGCCGACCAGCCAAGAAUAACUUCGAUUACUAUGUUCAUUAUGGAUCACAAAUCGUAUGACUAAUACCCGACUCGGUUCGGCCAGACCCACUUGCUUGGAUGAGUCCAAAUUAAGUGUCUCACAGAGCGUGGACCGCUCCAAACCCCUCUCACCACCUCCCCUUUAUCGACCCGCCCCUUCGUAAAGCAAAUCUUGUACUCAAACCCCCCACAUGAAUUCCUCCGGUGGGGAAUCGACGUCUCCUUUAGACCCACCUUUUUCUCCUUUAGGUUAUACACAUGUUGGUCUAGAAACUCCCUACGUUUGUAGUCGUCGUUGAUGAUGUCCGAUUCGAUCCGCUUCCAGGUGCAAAGAAUCAGGAAACUUGAAGUGACCAAUUUGACUUAGAACUUAUCGAUAUUGUUUGAUUCCUGACACGAUGACGAGUGGGGGAGUCGGUCGGGGCUAUCUGGACGAACCAGAUUGAACCAUCAUGUGAUAGGCAUUAUUGAGGUGUUUUUGAACUGCUUUGGAACGACAGGCUGUUCCAAAGAGACGAAAAUGGAGAUAAGGAUCCCGGAGAUGAAUUUUUAUACGGAGACUGGAGCAACACAGGUGUUGUAUAGUCACCAACAGUCCUUUUUGUCUACGUCGUAUCAUAUUACCCAAAAGAUGGGUCCACCAACACACGGGUUGUCAUACUAAGAUGUCCAGGUGUUCCGAACACAGAAGAAGAAGAAGAUGAUGAUGAUGUUGUAUAAAGAUUCUCAGCCAUUACGUGUACUCAUCCAAAUUAAAUCAGUGAUUCUGCAGAGAUCGGAUUGCUUACUUUAAUCGUAUUAUAAAACCACUGAGACGACUUUUAAUUGCCUACAUAUUGUCUCUGAAGUCAAUAUGUAGGUAGGCACACUACCAUACAGUGAUUGACUCUUUCUUAGGACUCGUCUCCCGUGGGAGUGGGAUUCGAUUUAUGUAUCCCUUCCGAGGAACGGCCACAGUAAACGACGGCAGUACAAUAGUGACAAAGCGUAGAGAGACUUGGCAGCUUCUGCGGCCUAUCAUCUUAGUAACUAGUCUUAAAUGGCCGGUAGAGAUUGAGGUCGGUGACGACUCCGGCGACGGACCCGAUGGCUGCGGCGAUGCUGACCGCGAGGCAGGCUAAGCUUAGCAUUUGCAGGCACACCCACCUGGUGCUCCACCUGGGGAUCCUCUGCCGCACAAUGUACAUCUCCACCGGGAAGUAGACGGUCAGCGGCCAGAAGCCGAGCGCGCCGAGCAGGCCCACCACGUCGUUGAAGAAGGGUAGCAGCAUCGAGAUGACGGUGGUCAGCACCACGAAGGAGGAGCGCCACACCAGGCGGAAGAGGCUGAGGUUGUAGCGCCGGGUCGGGGUGAGGGGGACCGCGAUCUCCUUGGCGAUGAAGGUGGACUCCGGCCACGUCUUGACCGCCCACUUCUCGAUGAAGGCGAAGAGGGGCUGGCAGAAGACCUGGUAGGCGCCGACCAGGUGGACGACGAUGGCGGCGUUGGCGAUGUUGAGGAGCCAGUAGGGGUUGUAGAAGCCGAAGCCGGUGAGGAGGUUGCCGGGCGCCGAGUCGCCGAACGCGGCGUAGCCCAUGCACCCGCACAGCAUGUAGAAGAGCGUGGUCACGACGAUGCUCAGUAGCGACGCCUUCUUCAUCACCUUCGCCUCCGACGGCGGUGGGGCUCUGAUGGUGUCCUGAAGGAACGACAGCAUGCCAGUGAAACCAAGGAACAGUUGCAAGAUCAAAGUCGAUCGAUCGAUCGAUCGAUUUAGCUCGCUAGACAGCCGAAACACACCUGGAUUUCGAUGAGCACGACCGAGAAGGAAUAGGCGAAGGCAAUGUCGCCCAAGGCCUUCAGGCUGCGCCAUAUCUUCUGUGUAGGGGAGAUGACGCCGAUGCUGAUUCCGGUAAGGCUGCCUUUGAAGCUUUUGUUGCCUGUAUGGAGUGAGACGAAAGCAUGACAGAAAGAGAAGGAUUAGGAUGCUUCAACCGAGUCGGUCAUAGGAGUCCGGUGAUGGAGGCGCACCGAUGACUUGGACGAUGCCGAGGGCGAGGCCGAUGGACGAGUAGGUGAAGGACAUGACCGCGGCGACGAUGGAGAGCCACCAUAUCUGAUCGAAGUCGGGGAUUUGCGACAAAAAAAUCUCCGCGACGCCGAACAUGAUCAUGUAAGGAUUGCUAGAGGUGAGGCAUGGGUUCUUGUGCCCUUUCUCGUGGAAGCAAUCGGACCUCUUGAUCGCCCUGUUUCCCGCAGCAAAAACAGAGCCACUCGUUUAGAAUGAGAAAGAAAGAAGCUUUCUCCCGGAACAAGAGUGAAAGCUCGUAUUGUUUGCACCCACUCACAUCAUGCUAAUGGAAGCGGCUAUGGUGUAGCCAAUGGCGACGCCGAAGAGGUUGGCGUACUGGAUGAAUCCACACAGCUUGACCUUUAGCCCACCUGUGUUGUUCGAGGCAAGAAGGGGAGGUAAGCACUCGGUCUACAACUGGCGGAAAGAUGUCACCUUGGCCAUGUCGUUUGCGCGAACUCACCGAGGUACGCGUGGACCGCAUCCGUGUAGUUGUAGUUGCGCUUCCCGUUGAUGGGGUCGCCGGAUCGGUAGCAGUCAGCGAGCAGAGUGGAGGUGUAGUACGUGACGAACGAGAAGAGGAACAUGACCACCGGGCCGGCGACCCAGCCGAGCUGCGCUAUGGUCCAGGCCAACGACAGCACGCCGGACCCGAUCACCGCCGUGACGAUGUGGGCGGUGGCCGUCCACACGGUCCCUGAAACCAAGGAAAAGCCCAAAACUUCCCUCCUUCAGACGACGAAAGCAAGAAUCUAGAGCGAAGAAGAAGCAAGAAGUUGACUAAAAAAACCAGUUUCGAUCUUUACCGGUCCUCUUGAGCCGCCCAUCGUCAUCGUAGCUCUUGGUGGCCCCCUGGAGCUGAUGCUCAUGGCCGAGCUCAACCGAGACAUCCAAGGGAGUAAAAGCCGGUGGUUGGUAACCCAUCUUGCGUCCAAAAACAGAGAAAACACAGCAAAGGUGAGACCUUUUUGCCUCACUAUUCUAAUGGCAGCAGAGAGAGAGAGAGAGAGAGAGAGAGAGAGAGAGAGAGGUGGAAGCUCCGGCACAAAGAAGUCACCUCUCCGUCGUAAAAAAACGAUCUUUUCUCCAGAAAAAGAGACAACUAAAGGAGAAACAAGCAAAAAGUGGCUCAGUUCGUGCUACAAAACCGAGGCAAUUACUACCGAGAAGAAGGAACAGAGGAGGUGUGGAAGGCAGUGAGGGAGAGUAGGUUGUUGGGUCGCGGCUUUAUAUAGAGGUGGGAAGGCAGCGAGAAGAAUCUAUCGAUAGAAGCACCAAAGGACAGCGUGCCGAUUGCCACGCUUUGACGAGGAGGUCAACGACGCGGCGUCGACCCCCAACCUCCACUACCACUCUCUACUCUGUAUCAGAGCCUAAUCUCUCCCUCUACCUGCUGCGAGCACCCCUUAAUGCGUCCACCACUGUUUCUAUCUCUUCCCCGUUAAAUCUCUUGCUUCCGACCUUUUCUUCCUCCUCGACAACGAUGCAUGCAUGCAAGCACCAAACUAGAGGCACAAAUUGAAUGGAGAAAAAGUGUCCAGAGAUCUCUUGCCUUGUGCAUCAACUUCACCGUGUUUCUUCAGUUGCUGCUGCUCUGAAAGCACAAGGGAGUUUAAUGAAGGAAGAGAGGAGAAGUGAUAGGACUGCUUAAUAUAUAGAGGAGAAUGAGAGAGCGAGGGAGAGAGAGAGAGGUCAUUAAUGGCUCUUCUUGUUGAGGGAUUGUGUGUUUCUGAUAAGAAAGAUGCCAUUGCCUGAGGUGUUAAAAUGAUAGUAGUAAUGAUAACAGUAACAAUAACAAAAAUGAUGGUAGAUAAAGCAAUUAAUUUGAGUGGAUCCUUCUUCUUAUUUGAUGGAAUCCGCUAUUUUGAUGCAUUAAUGAAAUUGAAAUCAGGAUAUUUUAUUUUUCUUCCUUUUUGUUCUAUUUUUCUGGAGAUUUUUCUUAUAUCAUAAAAAACAAUUGUUUUUUUACCACGACACAACUGUUGGUGUGUGGCCCGCUCUGGUACUCGCAUGGCAAUUCGGAGGGGAUGUGGGGCCCAUGCGGGACUCACAAACCUAGUCCUCGUCCAUCAGGGUAGGUAACGCGGGUACGAAAGGCUAGAAUUCUCUACUCGUGCAAAACGUAUGGUAUAAUUAGCCGACGCGUUGACCUUACGCCGCGUUGGGUGUCCAGAUGUGGGUCCCGCGGUCGGAGGUCAAGAAUCGAUUCUUUGGCGGAGGUAAAGACAAGGGGUUGGCGUAUCGACGUCGCUGUCCGUGGACACUGCACUUGGCGCCGCGAGGUCUAUGAUGUGAUUGGACCCUUUCUUUACCUACUGCUUUAGCUAAUCCUCCCUUAAUAUAUGCGAUUAGGUUUAGUGGCCUGACUAUUAAGGUUUUCCACAAAUAUUUAUUCUCUUUAAUCUAUUUAAUAGAUUUUCCAUAAACAUUAAUGUCUCAACGAAACACCGUCAAUAUCAAUCCCGAAACAUCAUCAUAAUCAUCAUCAUCGUAUUUUAAUUUAAUAUUUAUCGAACAUUUUUCUACCACUUUUAGGUUUUAUUGAAGCACUAAAGUAAGCAGCUAAUUCAUGGCAUAAAGGCAUGUGAUUUAUCUCUAACACAGCAGCCAUCUCACAUCCACUUAAUCUUUGUAGUGAGUGGUGCAACAGUGAAAGGCAUCACUUUGCUCUUUGCCUUUACCAACAAUCUUACUCCCAUUUGUGUAAGAGAUGUUUAUCUGCAUGCUAAACUCAUGUUUUGAUGCUAAAGCAACCUGCAAAGCCUAAUUGGUGCAAUGCAAUACAUCUCAGAAACAUCUUCUUGAAGAGAGUAAUCACAAAUCUACAUACACUACAUAAUUCACUAGAUUGUCCAAGAUAAAUCAUAAGCUGCUUGCAAGUUGUUUAUAUUCUCUCAUACAAAUCCAAUCAUGGAGAGGAUAAAAAAUACUGUUCAAACCAUCCAAGCAUUUGUUCAGAAAUAGAGGUUUGAUGAUGCCACAAGUCAAAAAGGUGUUCAGAUAUUCUGAUCUACUGUGCUUGAAAGUAACCAUAGGAAUCAUUUGACCACUGUUUUGUUCAUUAUGGUAAGUAGUCAUCAAACUUUUGGACAUCCUGUUAAGAACAUUAGUUGGAACACUUUGAUUGAUGGUUCCCUCAUGUCCAUCUCCUGCUAUGAAAUUAUCUGAAACUAUGUUAGAGGGGGGAAUCACUCUCUUAAACAACUAGUUUUUGUAGAUCUCAUUGUCAAGCAUCAAUCAUCCUUAUCUGAACAAAGAUCAAAUGUUUGUGCAAGAGAAGAUAAAUGUGUAGCUGCUGACAAGUUGCCAGUAUUUCUUCAGAACUCAACAACUGAGCCAGCCAGUAGAGGAUGCUACCAACUUUGCUAACCAAACCUCAAUAUUUAUGAUCCAAGUUCAAUGAGGGGUGCUGAAUAAUGUUAUGAUCUGGGAGCUUAAAGUUUAUUCAUGUCAUUAGACUUUGGAUGGCCCGCAGCACAUCAUUGACAAGAUUGUCAAGAUAACAUAAGCAUGAAAUUGAAGUUGUGCACUCAUAGAAGAACACAUCAACAGGAGAUGGAAGUGUAAGCAGCUAUUCAAGACUAAUUUGAUUGACUGCUUUUUCAGCUCUCAGUUUGUCAUGGAUUUGUGCAGAAUAAAAUAGAGGUUGGAUAUGAGGUGGGGGAUGCCAAAGUUCAAAAGGGGCAUCAGUUCUUCUGAACUAACUAUGCUUGAAAGCCACAGAGAAGGAAUCAUGCACUACCUUUGCUUUCACUCUGCAAUCCCUGUCAAGAAUAUGAAGAAGAGUUUACUAUGAAGAAGGAAGAAGCAAAUGCAAAGAGUUAAAACGUAUCUAAAUUUUUCUGAUGCAACACACCGUAUAAGGAAUUUUAAGCUCUUUAUUGUCUUUGAAGAGGUAUAAUUAACAUUGAAAAUUUGUAUCUUCCACCGGAUUUUUCUUAAGUGGUUAUUUUUUCGAACUUAAGAAGGAAAAUAUAGAUUUUUUGAGAAAAAAAUAUCGGAAGACGUUGUGGUGAAUGCCGAUGAAGUAUGAGUUAACCCAAUUUAAUUUGGAUGUAUAUGCAUAAGGAGUCUGUUGGACCGAACGAGGGAUUCAGAUAUUCAUUGGAUGAUUGAUCGAUAUAAAGACCGAAGUGAAGUGUGGUAUUCGUCGAGAUCCCUUCGAUGCUAUUAUUAAUUUUGAAUAAACAGUAAUCUCUAUUACCAUAAGACUUUUAUAAUAUAUUUAACCUAUUUUUUUAGUAUUUAUCUCAUGUCCUUACGUUGAUUAGGCUGUCAUAGAUUGUUUAUUGGCACCAAUAUUGCCCCUUUCAAGUGAUGAAUAACCUAAAAUAACA